RNAcentral lists this unclassified non-coding RNA (341 nucleotides) under Hevea brasiliensis (rubber tree). Lineage: Eukaryota; Viridiplantae; Streptophyta; Magnoliopsida; Malpighiales; Euphorbiaceae. The record is from RNAcentral.
GCAAGUAUUGAAUCUGUGAGAGAGGAAUUGCAAUCACUGCAUCCCGAUGAUCCACAGAUUGUGGUUUUAAAACACAAGGUUUGGCGCGUGAAGGGUCUGAUUCAGAUCUCAAGAUCCAUAGGUGAUGCCUAUUUAAAGAGGGCAGAAUUCAACAGAGAGCCUCUGUUGGCUAAAUUUAGAUUGCCCGAACCCUUCGAUAAGCCAAUUCUUAAAGCUGAGCCAACAGUUUCAGUACAGAAACUCUAUCCUGAGGAUCUAUUUCUUAUAUUUGCAUCAGAUGGCCUAUGGGAGCACCUAAGCAAUCAGGAAGCGGUUGACAUUGUCAACAAUUGCCCACGUAA